AAUUAAAGUGUGCCUGAUUCAUAAUUUUCUCCAUUUCUCGGCAGAGUAACUUUCUGCCCUGCCUUAUGUAUUGUGCACAGCUACCUCAGAAUUCAUUUUUCAGCUGUUAUUCAUACUUGAGUUGGGUGUUUCUGAAUGUAUUCUUCCUCACAGUAACUGUUGACAGGUCCAACCCUGUAACCAUCUGGCUCCUGAAGUAAUGAGACCAAAUGAAAUGGAGCUUGAAGAAAUUAACAUUCUUUCCUUAAUCUAUUAAUAACUGAGAAGUGUUGAUUUUGGUGACAGCUAGAUACUUUAUUAUGAGGCAUAUUGGUUAAUUAAGAGCAUCAUAAUGAAGGUUAUAGGAAUGUAUAUCCCUCCAGAAAUAUACAUAUUUUUAAUAAGCAUAAUUUCAUUCUUCUCACAGGCUCAAAAAAUUUAAAAAAAAAGCCAGUUGAAAAUGGUAUGCACAGAGAAAGUCUCAACAAAGACUAAACAGACAAUUUUGAAUGUGACUCCUCCUUGGAGGUUUCCAGAGGAACAGUGGAAGGAUAGAGGAAGGACAAAAUCAUUUCUUCUUCUUCUUGUUUCCUAUUCUUUUCAUCAUUCCUCUGGCAACACUACUCCUCAAUCCAUGAUCAGCAUAUUGUACCUGUAGUAGCAACUGUUUUGAGUAUGCAGGUCUAUAACAUUUUCAUAAGCAGAAUCACUGGCUCUCUCAGAGCACCAGCCAG
This is a long non-coding RNA of Bos taurus (domestic cattle), 713 nucleotides long. Lineage: Eukaryota; Metazoa; Chordata; Mammalia; Artiodactyla; Bovidae. The record is from Ensembl.